Small nuclear RNA from Carcharodon carcharias (great white shark), 159 nucleotides. RefSeq annotates it as U1 spliceosomal RNA. The record is from RefSeq and is a predicted model, not a curated record. The transcript has a single exon. Lineage: Eukaryota; Metazoa; Chordata; Chondrichthyes; Lamniformes; Lamnidae.
CUAGCUCUCUGGCAGGGGAGAGACCAUGAUCAAGAAGGUGGUUCUCCCAGGAUGAGGCUAACCCAUAGCACUUUGAGUGUGCUAAUGCCUGUGAUGUCCCCAAAUGCGGGGAUUUGCAAAAUUUGUGGCAAUGGGGGACUGUGUUCGCGCUCUCCCUGA